ACAGAGUUCAACAGUGACGGCUAAGAUCAAGUCUAGCAUCUGUUCUUAUCAGUUUAUUAUAUGGUACGUCUUUUACCCGGGGACCAUAUACUAAAUUGAUUCUUGGAACAAGGAAAUGGAAAAGGAGCUUGCCCCGUCCACUACACGCAUCGACUUGGUACUGAACGGUGCAUCCCCU
This is a small nuclear RNA of Cottoperca gobio, 178 nucleotides long. Its record names the gene U2. It matches the Rfam family "U2 spliceosomal RNA". Rfam says of the family: U2 is a small nuclear RNA (snRNA) component of the spliceosome (involved in pre-mRNA splicing). Complementary binding between U2 snRNA (in an area lying towards the 5' end but 3' to hairpin I) and the branchpoint sequence (BPS) of the intron results the bulging out of an unpaired adenosine, on the BPS, which initiates a nucleophilic attack at the intronic 5' splice site, thus starting the first of two transesterification reactions that mediate splicing. The record is from Ensembl. NCBI's taxonomy places the organism in Eukaryota, Metazoa, Chordata, Actinopteri, Perciformes, Bovichtidae.